UUGCUGUUCUUCCAACUGUUUGGCUUCGAGACCUCAGUUUACUUAGCUAUAUCUCUGCUGGUGGAGUUAUUGCAUCAGUUUUGGUGGUCAUCUGCUUAUUCUGGGUUGGUUUGGUUGAUCAAGUUGGGAUUCAUAGUAAUGGGACUGUACUGAACCUUGGGACUCUUCCUGUCGCUAUUGGUCUCUAUGGUUAUUGUUACUCAGGACAUGCUGUUUUCCCAAAUAUCUAUACCUCCAUGGCACAACCUAACAAAUUCCCUAUGGUUCUCUUAGCAUGCUUCGGUAUCUGUACUGUCAUGUAUGCUGGAGUUGCUGUUAUGGGGUACACUAUGUUUGGAGAAUCAACGGAGUCUCAGUUCACUCUUAACAUGCCUCAAGAUCUAAUAGCCACAAAGAUUGCUGUGUGGACUACGGUAGUGAAUCCAUUUACCAAAUAUGCAUUAACCAUGUCUCCAGUGGCAAUGAGUCUUGAAGAAUUGAUACCAUCAACCCAUCUGAAGUCUCACAUUUAUGCUAUCUGCAUCAGGACAGCACUGGUGAUCUCCACCUUGAUUGUCGGUCUAUCCAUUCCCUUUUUCGGUCUGGUGAUGUCUUUGAUUGGAUCUUUGUUGACAAUGCUAGUAACCUUGAUACUUCCUUGUGCUUGUUUUCUAAGCAUCUUAAGGGGUAAAGUAACCAGAUUUCAGGCUGCAGUUUGUAUUAUGAUCAUUGUAGUAGGGGUGAUAUCAUCAGUCUUUGGAACCUACUCAGCCUUCUCCAAAAUUGUUGAGAGCUUGAGAAAAUCUUAAUUUUCCAGAGUAGCUUCUUAUGUUUUCCAUUUCCAAAUUCUUUGAGACAUUGCAUCCUCAGUUCCCUUUAAUGCAUUUAUAGUCUGCUAUUUUGGUAUGUGUAUUGACACUAAAAGAAAUAUGAGUAUUGCUACUAUUCACUAAGUCCAG
This 938-nucleotide unclassified non-coding RNA is filed under the name Hevea brasiliensis (rubber tree). Lineage: Eukaryota; Viridiplantae; Streptophyta; Magnoliopsida; Malpighiales; Euphorbiaceae. The record is from RNAcentral.